UGUCAAUACCAUUAGCAACUUCGGGCUGUUUUCUUCCAUUUGCUUUCCCCUCCCGGCACUAAAAGCUCAUUAGGGCUCUGACAGAAGAGAAAUGGCUGGAGUAGGGAAGAGAAACUCUUCGUUUCCCAGAAAUUCUGCUCUGGGCUUCCGUUCCCUGUUUCCUAGCAGGCUGGACCUGCAGUGACCUCCAGAGACAGUUCAAAACCUGGCCAGGGUGGAGGGAUGCAGGCGACGCAGGCCCAAGGCCCAUCCGGACCCAGACUGCGUCUCCUCCAUGCAGCGCAAUGAGCCUCAGACCCCGAUCUGCUGUAGUUCAUCACACCUGGAUGUGGAAUCAUUCACACCUGGAUGGGGCUGCGAUUUACCCAGAACUGAGAAGCCACAGACUGCUGAGCAAAGGAAGAGUGUAAAUGAGGCUGGGGAGUGGGGGCGUGUUUAACCUACUUAAGAGAAUCUCUUUUCUCAAGCACUUUAGCACCUUCGUUUGCAAGGAAGAGAAUGUCUUUUGCUGAAUACAAGCCACACCAAGCUGGCCAAUGAGGGGCCUCUGGGGCCUCGGAUGGGCAGCACUUCGUUCUUACUGCAGGAGACCCUAGGAGGGGCAGCACUGCUCAGAGAGAAGGCCCCCCCAGCGGAGACUAAGCCCAGCUCCUAGAUCCCGCCCUGUCCCACGUGUACCCAAGGCUACCGCCUUGACAUUCUAAGCCCCAGGGUCUGCAAGUGGAAAGUGAGCAAAUUGAACAGAUGAUUUCUGAGAUCCAUGGCUACCCUUGAAUGCACUCAGUUAUUUUGCGGCAUCACAGAAUUUUUUUUUUUUUUAGCAAAUAUGACAAAAUGUUAAUAUUGUUAUUAUGUAAGGGAUCAUAAAAUUGGUAAGGAAUAUAGCAAGAUAUCAAAGAAUAAUAGACAAAAGACAUAGCCUGACAAUUUCCCAAAAGAAAAAAUACUAAAUGGUAAGGAAACGUAACCAAAAAGCUGGUCUUGCUAUUAUUCAAGGAAAUGCAAACCAAAAUAAUGAUGCCACUUUGCUAAUUAGCAAAAACUUUAUGA
Molecule: long non-coding RNA, 1050 nt
Filed under: Capra hircus (goat)
Lineage: Eukaryota; Metazoa; Chordata; Mammalia; Artiodactyla; Bovidae
Description: lncRNA (ENSCHIG00010024746.1)
Source: RNAcentral